Molecule: long non-coding RNA, 722 nt
Filed under: Ananas comosus (pineapple)
Lineage: Eukaryota; Viridiplantae; Streptophyta; Magnoliopsida; Poales; Bromeliaceae
Description: long non-coding RNA (ACOM_LNC033729)
Source: RNAcentral
GGAAGUCAAUGGAUGUGGAUACCCGAAAUUUUAUCCGAACCCGAACCCGAAUGAAACGGAUAUAUCCUAUGGAUAUGAAUAUGGAUUCGAAUAUGGAUAUCAAAAAUAGAAAAUAGACAGAUAUGGAUUCGAAUAUGGAUUUUAAUUAUACCCGAUCCGAAUCCGAACCCGACCUGAACCCGACCCGAACCCGAAUUUAUUUUGUAUUAUAUAUAAUAUAUAUAAAAAAAUUUGAUGUUAUAUUUGAAUUUGUAUUUUAAAAAUUUAGAUUUAAUAUAAUAUAUUUUGAAAUAUUGAAAAAAGAAAUAAUUGUUUCGGGUUUAAAUUUUCGGGUUCGGGUUCGGUUUUUGGAUUUUUGGUCGGGUUCGGGUUUGGAUAUGGAUUUUUAAAAUCUGUCGGGUUCGGGUUCGGGUCUCGGGUUUGGAGUCGGGUUCGGGUUCGGGUUUUUAAAAAUCCGGCCCGAAUCCGAAUCCAAAAAUCAAAUUAAAACUCGAACACGAAUCCGAACCCGAUAGGUUUUAAAAAUCCAUAUCCUAUGGAUAUGGAUUUUUAAAACCUGAUCCAAAUCCGACCCGUUGACAUGCCUAAAGGAGGAAAAAAAAUAAUAUAGGCACGAUGAAUUGUUCAUCGUGUUUAACUUAACACACUGGCCCCAGCACUGCCCGCGUGGCGCUGACGUGGCUCCUGUGUGGUAGGGCCAGAACCAUUUUUAUAAAAUAAAU